RNAcentral lists this transfer RNA (62 nucleotides) under Dorcus tityus. Its description in RNAcentral is "tRNA-Asp". The record is from RNAcentral. Lineage: Eukaryota; Metazoa; Arthropoda; Insecta; Coleoptera; Lucanidae.
AAAGGUUUAGUUAAAUCAUAACGCUAAUUUGUCAAAUUAUAAUUACCCUAAGGUAGCCUUUU